Molecule: long non-coding RNA, 1483 nt
Organism: Limulus polyphemus (Atlantic horseshoe crab)
Lineage: Eukaryota; Metazoa; Arthropoda; Merostomata; Xiphosura; Limulidae
Exons: 2
Source: RefSeq, a predicted model, not a curated record
UUUCUUUGAUCUCUUCUUUAUGUUCUGCCGUUUCUUACAUCACAUCCUCUCAGUUUUUUUGCAAUACAUGAAUAAUAUCUGCCACAGGACGGUAGCAAUGAAACAGUAUUUAUAAUAGGAGAUUUCCCAUAGUUCAUAGUUAAUGGCUACAAGUCUAUAUGUUGCUGGGUGUAUAGUGUUCUUUAAAUCUGUGGCAAACAUUCCAAGGACGACUUUCAAUCAGUAGUCGACCAGCAGAACCCCUGGAGUUUCAAAUUAAGUUGAAUAGCUCUUGAGAGACACUUGGAUCGUAAUACUGGAUCGACCUUGACAGAUGAGGAUUAUAGUUAUUUCAGCCCAUCUGUGGCAUCAACGGAAGGUUUUACUAUCCCGCACACAAGUAUACUGAAAAGAACAAAUUAUGUGUCUGUGAGAGAAGGGUAGAAAUACAACCAUGUUUACUGUCCACAGCUAGAAAUAAAAGGCAAUGGCCGGGCUUGGUCCACUCUUUGGCAGUGGUGAACCCAUUAAGGGAACGGAGCUCUGGUUGUGUUAAUUCUGUUCCUUAAAAGUAAAAGAACUGGCUGUUAUGGUUGAUUCUAGAUUCAAGGGUGGUAAGACCAAAGAUACUUUAUGGACGUCCAGUAUAUGUACAACACUUUGUGUUUGAGACUUGAUAAUGGCAAAAGAAAAGACAUAAGAUUGUGAGUGAGCUCGCCUCACUGACAUGUACAGCACUAAAAGAAGUUAAAGUUCUUCAAUCGAGACUGAUUAGACAGCCCACUGAACAAUCAAAAUACAGAAACUUCCAGGAUUAUGAUGUCACAAGGAGACAGACGGAAAUUGGUAUUCCAAUCUGACUAUAUCAAGCCUUUGAACUUGGGCUAAAUAAUAAAGUUUGAUACAAGUACAGUCUAGGGUUCUGGUGGUAUCUUUAUUCACUGAAUCCACAAAUUAGACUGCUUCUUUUAUAUGGAUGUACAAGCUCAAUUAAACACAUAGAAAGGCGAAAGCAAACCAUUACAUUAUGUUUUAGUCAGCUUUAAACUAGCAGUUCCUGGUUUUUGGCACUAAAAGCAUUUUAUGUUAGGUUGAAAAGCAAGGGACUAAAGAGAGACACAGGGCCGAGGUGUUGAUAUUCCUGCAACAAGAAUAUAACAUUUGAUAUGUUUAACAAGAAACUUAUAUUUUCAUUUGUAUUUAAUUUUUUAUUGAUUUUGUUUCACAUGGUUCUUGUACAUUUAAUACUACUUAAUUAAUAUGUAGUGUUGUGCAAUUCUGAAUUGUUUGGUCGUGUUUUCCAAUAAGUAUGGUUUAUCUGUAUUUUUGCCAAUUUUUUUAAUAUCGUUCUACUCUAAGUGAGUGCAUUGGUUAUUGUUGUUAUUUUGGACACUAAUCCAGCAAAUUAAUCAAAUAGUGGAGAGAGAAAUUUAAUGUUUUUUAUUAUUUUAGUGUCUUAUGUCACUGUGUAAUUGUUUCUUUAAUAGAUUCCUUUAUAACACAA